Long non-coding RNA from Oncorhynchus nerka (sockeye salmon), 2470 nucleotides. RefSeq lists it as uncharacterized. The transcript is spliced from 4 exons. Lineage: Eukaryota; Metazoa; Chordata; Actinopteri; Salmoniformes; Salmonidae. The record is from RefSeq and is a predicted model, not a curated record.
GGGUGUCAAUGGUGCUUUUAUUGGUCAAUUUUGUUGUAACUAGUAUUCUUUGUAUGUUGGCCUAUGUUAAUUUAAUAGGCCUACAUUAAAUUGUAUUGGGAACAUACACAUUUAGCAGAUGUUAUUGCGGGUGUAGCGAAAUGCUUUUGUUUGUAGCUCCAACAGUGACAUGAGUUGGGGUCAAUGUGAAUUGAAGUCAGUCAAUUCAGGAAGUUAUUUGAAUUUACAAAAUGGAGAGAACUUGACAUAAAUAGCUUCUCCUUGUCCGCUUAUUUAGAAGUAAAUGGAAAUAGAUAAACCUACCUCUAUUGCAUUGGAAUAUAAUUUCUCAAAUUGACCCCAACCCUGAGGCCUAAAUUCAACACUUAAAUGAAAUGAGGAUCACACUGCGCAACAUGCAUUAUGGUUCCAUAGGCUCUCCAAUUCACCUUCAUUUACAGUUUUACUCUGUUCAAGUAGACAGUUAUCAAUAGUUUGUUUCUUUGUUAUUAGUCAUUCAAAAUGUACAGGCCUACGGUAUUUGGCACCCUCUGCUGGUGAUUUGCAGGAUGUGCAAUGAUACGCGUAAAAGGAGGGCUGUGAUUGCCUACUAUGAUCCAUUUUAUAGAGAAAUUGGCAUAACUUUAAAACUAGCAGAGAUCCAACUCUGGAAAUUUGAUAUGCCUGUAGAGUAUGUUCAACAAUAUAUUGUAACAUUCCCAUUCAAAAUAUUUAUUUUUAGUCAUGUAAGAAAAUUGUUACUUAAAUCAAAAUACUACUCUUAUUAUAGGGCAAGCGGUAAAGCUUGAUUUGACAUGUAGUCAGUGAUAUGUAGCCCAAAAUCAUGUUUAAUGACAUUUCAUCUUUCAAUCAUGCAAGACUUCAUGUAUGCAUAUGGUUCCCGCCAUAGAGCUAACAAUAGGCCCCAAUCACCACACAACCCCCACCCCAAGUGCCACAAGACGCACUUGCCGUGGCUGAGAGAUCUUGGGUGAAGAGGCAAGAAUUGGGUUAAUUUGCAUAACUGUUUAAAUGCUUUAAAAAAAUUGAGACUAGAAAUAAGGAUGUUCUCUUUUGUAUUGCACGUUCCUUGGUUUAAUAGUUGAGUUUUAUUCCCCCCUUAUUAUUUGUAUUUCACAGCAACACCUACAGUCCACAAUCUUAAUUUAGUUUGAGGAUAUGCAUUUCUAAAAUGUUUAUUGUUACAAAAACAUUCUUUCCUUACUUUGUCCUGGUGGUCGGUAUUUCUAAUCUUCGUGCCUUAGUGGAUAAUAUUGUGCCCAUGUCAAACCGAGCUGGUAGCACAGGUCAUGCUGACCAGACUUGGCUUCAUGUCCACUCUCCUGGAGCCAGAGCUCCACAUCUGGAGGCAGAUGUUUAUGGGAUUGUGUUACCACAAGGCCUUGUCCCUGCCAUUGUCCAUCCAUCGAUCAGGCAGGGAAAAGGUUUAAAGAACUCCUCCAUGAUGCUCUGUUCUGGUGGACUGAGUAAAUCCUUAAUUACCAUUACUAGUAGCAUAAAGGAAUGACUUAAGUGAAAAUCACCAUUUCCACGACCGUGCAAAGGACUAAAACCCUGGAAUGUCACAUGUAAUUAUUUGCAGGUCUUUGUACAUUACUUCCCACGUCGCAUUGACGUCGUAAAGGAUCCAAAGUACCAGUAGCAGCUGGCAUUGGAGUAUGAAGACCAAGCAUGGGAGCUAGGUGUGACUUGUGCCUUCCCACUGGUUCCCCUGCUCCCACAAUAAAGUACACCUGAGUGAUGAUUGUGGGAUUGCAAUUUUGGCCACGCUGAUCAGACACUUCGUUUGAGGGACUGCGGUGCAUGGCUGCUGCUAGGCCUACUUCUGCUGGGAUUUAAAGUGAUGGGAGUGGAGGCAAGAUUGGCCUACUUCUAGUGCACCCCCAGCAGGACCCCCUCUUGCAGCACCACCUGCUCCUCCAAUGGCUGGCCUUGUGAUCCACAGUCAUGGGGGCAGAGGCAAGGUUGGACACCCAGUAGCUGUCGUUCCAUCAGUUCAGCUGUGUGGAGGCAAAUAAGUACUUUCAGCCGACUCGCAGGGGUAAAGUGAACAGUGCGGUUAUCUGCAGCCCCAGGAUCACCCUUGAUGGUCAAUGUGACAGGGAGGUGGACGUUCAGUCACCUUUCUACCACACCGGUCUUUCUUUUUUUUUUUUUACUAAUCAACUGCUCAACAUUACCUAGAGUAUUAGAAUCUGGUCGAGAACAAAAUGUCGAACAGCCUGCAACUAGGUGAAGAGAAGCCCUGAUGGGUGAACUGUUAUUCUUCAAGCUACUUUAUUCUACAUUUUCUUGUAAAUAUUUCAUGGGUGUAUGUUGAUUUGUGUAUUUUCCAGGAGCUUGCUCGGUUGUCUUAUUAAAAAGAGAACAGAGACGAAUUUGUCAGUUUCUCCUAUAUUGGCUCAAAUUGGUUACUGUUUUUUACUUCCCUCUGGAAAGUUGUUUAUUUAAAUAAAUACUGAAUAAAACA